Bombus terrestris (buff-tailed bumblebee) is the source of this 432-nucleotide long non-coding RNA. RefSeq lists it as uncharacterized. The transcript is spliced from 3 exons. The record is from RefSeq and is a predicted model, not a curated record. NCBI's taxonomy places the organism in Eukaryota, Metazoa, Arthropoda, Insecta, Hymenoptera, Apidae.
UUCCAUACGCGUGUAGCAACGUGUCUUUGGGGAAGUUGCAUCUGCGAUGCUCUUGUAACCCUUCAUAGCGGUGGUCAUCUCGCAGUUCCGCCGUGGCUUUUGUAUGUGUAGCACGCGUUAUUUCUUGUUUCUUCCAAUAAAGUAUUUUUACAUAACGGUUAUGUUGAGUCAUGGACACAAAAGCGUCCGCGCCUGUGCGAACUGUUGCAAGAGGAGGAAGAUAUGUGAAUGGUACGAGAUGACGUGAUCGACGUGCGUGUGUGAAUAUGUGCGAAGGAUGAUGCCGAAGGGGCGGUUUUCCACCAAAGUAGGCACAGUGGCACCUUCGUUGGCGUCGUGUCCUGAUGAUCUUUUGACAAGUUGGUUUUAUUUGACAAUAUGAGAUAUAUUUUGCUCCUUGUAGAUUUAUAUGUCCAUAUUUGCUAUAUAUUA